CGAAGGGUGUUCAAUGGGCGUCGUGCGUUUAAACAUAACCUCUUUGCCCUCUUUCCUUCCUCUUUUGCCCAUUUUGUCUAUCCAGAAUUACGUUCCUACAGUGUUUGAGAAUUAUACGGCCAGUUUUGAAAUCGACACACAAAGAAUAGAGUUGAGCCUGUGGGACACUUCGGGUUCUCCUUACUAUGACAAUGUCCGCCCCCUCUCUUACCCUGAUUCGGAUGCUGUGCUGAUUUGCUUUGACAUCAGUAGACCAGAGACCCUGGACAGUGUCCUCAAAAAGUGGAAAGGUGAAAUCCAGGAAUUUUGUCCAAAUACCAAAAUGCUGUUGGUCGGCUGCAAGUCUGAUCUGCGGACAGAUGUUAGUACAUUAGUAGAGCUCUCCAAUCACAGGCAGACGCCAGUGUCCUAUGACCAGGGGGCAAAUAUGGCCAAACAGAUUGGAGCAGCUACUUAUAUCGAAUGCUCAGCUUUACAGUCGGAAAAUAGCGUCAGAGACAUUUUUCACGUUGCCACCUUGGCAUGUGUAAAUAAGACAAAUAAAAACGUUAAGCGGAACAAAUCACAGAGAGCCACAAAGCGGAUUUCACACAUGCCUAGCAGACCAGAACUCUCGGCAGUUGCUACGGACUUACGAAAGGACAAAGCGAAGAGCUGCACUGUGAUGUGAAUCUUUCAUUAUCUUUAAUGAAGACAAAGGAAUCUAGUGUAAAAAACAACAGCAAACAAAAAGGUGAAGUCUAAAUGAAGUGCACAGCCAAAGUCAUGUAUACCAGAGGCUUAGGAGGCGUUUGAGAGGAUACUCAUCUUUUUGGAAUCCUGACCUUAGGUUCGGCAUGUAGACCAAGUGAUGAGAAGUGAAUACAUGGAAGAGUUUUGA
RNAcentral lists this small RNA (880 nucleotides) under Pongo abelii (Sumatran orangutan). RNAcentral's name for it is "retained intron". The record is from RNAcentral. Lineage: Eukaryota; Metazoa; Chordata; Mammalia; Primates; Hominidae.